This is a non-coding RNA of Camelina sativa (false flax), 611 nucleotides long. The record is from RefSeq and is a predicted model, not a curated record. Lineage: Eukaryota; Viridiplantae; Streptophyta; Magnoliopsida; Brassicales; Brassicaceae.
UCUUCGUCUUGCAGGUUUUUUGGAAGCAAACUAUGAUCUGAUCAUCGUGUAUUCAUUUCUCCAAAGAAAACCGUUGCAAAAAAAUUAUAAGCCUUCUCUCAUACAAGAGUCAAAACCCUUGCAACUAUGGUGGAAGCACCGGGACUGAUAUGAUAAAUCUUUCUUCAGAUAUGUCAUCUUUUUAGUUUAUCUUAAAGGAUGCCGUCUCUCCAAGAUCUUAUCUAAAUCCUUGCCCAGAGAAAACAUUUUCCCUCUGUUAAUUGUUUGAUUUCCUACUCAAAAGUAUUCAACGGCAUUGGAAUCUUUCUGUGAGAAGUUCGAUCCAGAUUUCAUCGAGAUCAGGACAAAGGCCAGAGAGUUGUUGCAGAGGGAAGACGAUCUUAAUGAAGUUUAUUCGUCUUGCAGGUGUUGUUUAUAAGAGAAAAGCAUCAUGUUACUAACUGGUGUCUUUCCUCUUUUUUCUCUGUUUUUGUAUUUCUCAUGCUACAUAACAAAAAAGCGUCACUACUUACGGGUCUCUUUCCACUUUUUUCUCUGUUAAUUUAUGUAUCUCUGAUGCUGCAUCUAUUCCAAUCGAGUUUGUUCUUAUACUUUAACAAUUUCAAGUGGUU